This 313-nucleotide unclassified non-coding RNA is filed under the name Mycobacterium saskatchewanense. RNAcentral's name for it is "16S-23S intergenic spacer". Lineage: Bacteria; Bacillati; Actinomycetota; Actinomycetes; Mycobacteriales; Mycobacteriaceae. The record is from RNAcentral.
CUAAGGAGCACCACGAGAAACACUCCAAUUGGUGGGGUGUGAGCCGUGAGGGGUUCUCGCCUGUAGUGGGCGGGAGCCGGGUGCGCGACAACAAGCGAAUGGCCAGACACACUAUUGGGCCCUGAGACAACACUCGGCCGAGCCGUGUGGAGUCCCCCCAUCUUGGUGGUGGGGUGUGGUGUUUGAGUAUUGGAUAGUGGUUGCGAGCAUCUAGAUGGAUGCGUUGCCCUUACCGGCACGUGUUCAUCUUGUGUAAUUUCUUUUGAUUUUUUGUGUAAGUAAGUGCUUAAGGGCGCAUGGUGGAUGCCUUGGC